Heterocephalus glaber (naked mole-rat) is the source of this 2747-nucleotide long non-coding RNA. Lineage: Eukaryota; Metazoa; Chordata; Mammalia; Rodentia; Bathyergidae. The record is from Ensembl.
CAGCAUAUGAAAAUACAUGUAGUUCUGACAGAUUUACUUUUAUACCAAAUAAUGCUGAGCUAAUUAAAGAAGACAUAAAUAGCUGAAGGAAUAUCUCACACUCCUGGAUCAGUUUUUCAAAAUAAGAUGUCAAUUUUCUGCCAAACUUUCUAUAUAGAUUCCAUACAAUCCCAAAGCUCUGAUGAGCCAGUAUUGUGUUCUUGUAGAAAUUUACAACCUCAUUCCAAAAUUUGUAUGGAAAUACAAAAGCCACAGUGAAAACCACUUUGAAAGAAAGCUGGAGAAAACAGUCUGACUCCAUAGUAACAUAUUUAUCAACAACUGUAAAAUAUUGUUACAAUAACAUAUUGAUCAAUGGAAUAUGCAGGUACACAAUAAACUAGAAUAGAGUCCAGAAAUAGAUUAAGAUAUACAUGCCCAAUUCAUUUUUUAUAAAGUGUCAGGGUAGUUUAACAAGGAUAGGACAUACUUUUCAACAAAUAGUGCUAGAACUAGACAGCCAUAUGCAAAAUAAAAUCACCAUCAUCUUGCUCUUCUUAUACAAAGUUAUGCAAAAAGUUAAUUACAAAUGGAUUAUAAAUCUAACUGUAAGAGCUAAAACUAUAAAACUCCUAAAAGAAAAUAUAAAGUCUUAGUAACCUUCAUUUGGGCAGUUUCUUAAAUUCAAUAUUAGUAUGAACUUUAAAAGGGAGUAAGACAGCCUUUGUGAAAAAUUUAAAACUUUUGCUUUCAAACAAUGCUUUUGAAAAAUGAAACAGGGUGAAGGAUGUAGCUCAAUGAUACAUUUUUAACUAGCAUGUGUGAGGUCCUAUGUUGGAUCCACUUCACCACACACACACACACACACACACACACACAAAGUGUGGCAGAGUACACUCAGUACAUUUGCAGCCCAGGGCUCAAUGUCCAGCACCAAAAAAAAAAGACAGUUUUUAUCUUUCAGAUUGAGAGAAUGUGUUUGCAAAACAUACUACCUGACAAAGAAUUUUUAUCUAGAGAAUAUAAAGAACCUUAUUACUCAAGAAAAUAAUUUUUAAAAUAUGGUGAAAAGACAUGAAAUAACACUAUACCAAGACAGAUACAGAGUAAAGAAGCACAUAAAAUGAUGUUCAGUAUUAUUAGUCUUUAAAGAAAUACGAAUUAAGAAGCCACCCAGACACCAGUGGCUGGGCAGCAGACUCCAGCUAGAUGCCUGCUGGGACAAUAGUGGUGAGGAUGCACAGACCUCAGGCAGGGUCCCACCCAGACACCACCAACUUGGGCAUGUAGGCGCCAGCCAAAGGCCCAUCUGGAAAACAGCUGUGCAGGCUUGCAGACCUAGCCAAAGACCUGGCAAGAUACCAUUGGUAAGUGUACACAGGCUCCAGCUAGAAGCCUGCAGGGACAACAGCCCAGUGCGGGGUUCCAGAAGCCAUCAUUCUGAAACAGGUAUUGGCAUAGUGGUGACCAGCAGAGAGGCCUCUCUGAGGCUUGCUGAGAAUUAAAGCCCACUGGGAUAGCAGUCACCUCAAUAAAGGCACAGAAGACUGCAUUAGUUGAAUGAGAAGAUGCCUAAACAAGGCUCAAAACCAGACUUCCAGAUCACCAAAGGCAACCUCAAGGGGCAAUGAGAUAAAACAAUCUGAAACUCAACCACGUGGACUCUAAACUAGCAAUGACAGGGGAUCUGGAAAAAAUAAAAUCAGAAAUAAUUUCUCAGGGGCCGGGGAUUUAGUUCAGUGGUUUUGCCGCCUGCUGCGCAAGCGCAAGGACCCAAGUUCAAUCCCCGGUACCAAAAAAAGAAAAAUAAUUUCUCAGACAACAGAUAUAAUGUCUAUAGGGAAAGACAUGAUUAACAACUCUGGAGCAGACACAGAUAAAAAAAAUAACAGAGGAGCUGAGAAAAUAAUGGCAUCCCAGCAUAGGAAACAAAUGGAAUCCAUAAAACAGAUGCAAACAGAUAUCCAAGAGAUUAAAAACUCCACUGAAAGUUUAUACAGCAGAAUGACCCAAUGUGAGGACAGAGUAUCAGAUAUAGAAGACAGGACUGCAAUUAGUGACCAGGAAAAGAAAGAUUUCUUAAAAAGACCAAGGGACCAUAAGAAAUUGAUCCAGCACCUGCUAGAUGAUGCAAAGAAUAACAUAAGACUGAUCAGUCAAUGAAGAAACAGGAGAGAGUGCAAAUAACAUAAAAAAAUUGCUCAAAGGGCUGAGGAUUUAGCUCAGUGGUUUCACCACUUGCUGUGCAAGCACAAGGACCCGAGUUUGAUCCCCAGUACCCCCCGAAAAAAAAUGCUCAAAGAAGUACUGGCAGAAAACUUCCUAAGCAAGGGAAAAGAAUUUGACAUAUAGAUAACUGAGGCAUGAUCCAACUAGCAAUGAUCAAACACAAUCUACACAGAGACAUAUAAUAGUCAAGAUUCCAGAAACCCAACUGAAGAACAAACUUCUACAAGCAGUUAAAAGAAAAAAAAAACAAAUCACAAAGGAAAGCCCAUCAGAAUCACAGCAGACUUCUCAACACAAACCCUCAAGGCAAGAAGAGCCUGGAGUGAAGUAUUUCAAGCCAAAUUAAUGUACCCUACAAAACUAUCUUUCAAAAUCGAUGGAAAAGAUACUUUCAUGACAAAGAGGAACUUCAUGAAUACCAAACCAGCACUUGAAAAAGUUUUAAACAGUAUCUUAGGAAAUGACAAUGAGGGUCACAACCCCAAGAAACCCAGCAGAAUGAAUCCAUCACACAUGAAAAGAAAUUAAACGCAAAGAGG